GACGAACCGUGCGAACGUUAUUCGGAAUCACUGGGCUUAAAGCGCGUGUAGGCGGAUGGGAACGUCGGUCGUUGAAAGCCCCCGGCUCAACCGGGGAAUUGGCACCGAAACGACCCGUCUGGAGGGGCAUAGGGGGAUCUGGAACUUCCGGUGGAGCGGUGAAAUGCGUUGAGAUCGGAAGGAACGCCCGUGGCGAAAGCGAGAUCCUGGAUGUCUUCUGACGCUGAGACGCGAAAGCUAGGGUAGCGAACGGG
RNAcentral lists this ribosomal RNA (254 nucleotides) under uncultured bacterium. Its description in RNAcentral is "partial 16S ribosomal RNA". It matches the Rfam family "Bacterial small subunit ribosomal RNA", at positions 524 to 776 of the family's 1533-position model. The record is from RNAcentral.